CGGAGGGGCUAGCGUUGUUCGGAAUUACUGGGGCGUAAAGCACACGUAGGCGGAUCAGUCAGUUAGGGGUGAAAGCCCAGGGCUCAACCCUGGAACUGCCUUUAAUACUGCUGGUCUGGAGGUCGAGAGAGGUGAGUGGAAUUCCGAGUGUAGAGGUGAAAUUCGUAGAUAUUCGGAGGAACACCAGUGGCGAAGGCGGCUCACUGGCUCGAUACUGACGCUGAGGUGCGAAAAGCGUGGGGGAGCAAAACAGGAUU
RNAcentral lists this ribosomal RNA (257 nucleotides) under uncultured bacterium. RNAcentral's name for it is "partial 16S ribosomal RNA". It matches the Rfam family "Bacterial small subunit ribosomal RNA", at positions 527 to 779 of the family's 1533-position model. The record is from RNAcentral.